GUACACUCCUGCGGGAGGCAGCAGUGGGGAAUUUUGGACAAUGGGCGAAAGCCUGAUCCAGCAAUGCCGCGUGAGUGAAGAAGGCCUUCGGGUUGUAAAGCUCUUUUGUCAGGGAAGAAACGGUGAAAGCUAAUAUCUUUUGCUAAUGACGGUACCUGAAGAAUAAGCACCGGCUAACUACGUGCCAGCAGCCGCGGUAAUACGUAGGGUGCAAGCGUUAAUCGGAAUUACUGGGCGUAAAGCGUGCGCAGGCGGUUUUGUAAGUCUGAUGUGAAAUCCCCGGGCUCAACCUGGGAAUUGCAUUGGAGACUGCAAGGCUAGAAUCUGGCAGAGGGGGGUAGAAUUCCACGUGUAGCAGUGAAAUGCGUAGAUAUGUGGAGGAACACCGAUGGCGAAGGCAGCCCCCUGGGUCAAGAUUGACGCUCAUGCACGAAAGCGUGGGGAGCAAACAGGAUUAGAAACCCGGGUAGUCC
RNAcentral lists this ribosomal RNA (473 nucleotides) under uncultured organism. RNAcentral's name for it is "partial 16S ribosomal RNA". It matches the Rfam family "Bacterial small subunit ribosomal RNA", at positions 331 to 796 of the family's 1533-position model. The record is from RNAcentral.